RNAcentral lists this long non-coding RNA (1235 nucleotides) under Coturnix japonica (Japanese quail). RNAcentral's name for it is "lncRNA (ENSCJPG00005021066.1)". The record is from RNAcentral. Lineage: Eukaryota; Metazoa; Chordata; Aves; Galliformes; Phasianidae.
AUGCGCUCCGCCCCCCGCCGGCAGCAUCACCCCGCGGCCGCAGCGAGGAGAGCCGGGGGAACCGCUCGGUACCGGAGCUUCUCCUUUCUGUGCCGCCGCACACACACCCCCACCACUGAGUUCGCCUCUGCCGAGAAGGGCCGGGCCCGCAGCACAGGCCGAGGAGGCACUUCGCGUCGGGACGGCCCCGCGCCCGGCUCCUUACCCGGCCGUCAUCACCACGUUGUAAAUGACGAGGUAGGCCGUGGCCAGGGCUCCCGGGCCCUUCCUCCGCCUUGGCUGCUGCCCGCCGUAGCCGUUGUCCGCUCGGCUGCCUCCGCCGCCCGCCGCCGCCAUGUUGCGGCGCUCCCGCGGCCUCCGCCCGCUCUCGGCGCACGGUGGGUGCGAGGGGCGGGGCCUCCCCGCCGCCAUGUUGGAGGAGGGCACAGCGGAGUCCGGCCCUCGGGCUGCGGGAGGCGAGGAUUGAGUGUUUCUUUGCGCCUUAAAACAGAGGCUACAAACAGUGCUGUGCAGGAGAGUCCCACAGAAAUCGCCUUCCUGAACUGUGCAUUUCCCCACCAUAAGGUAAGAGUUUGGGGCACAGCAGCCUCCUGCCGCACUCACAGAACAGGACGAGUGCAGCCGUACCACAAACACUGAGCAAGUGUCAUUAUUGCCUCCGCACCCAUUUCUGUGCCAGGCAGGUGUGAGGCCAGAGUAGGAAAGGAGGCUGCUGUCGGUGUCCUUAAGAGAUGUGAACACACUGACGCCUGCAACAGAGCAUACAAGUAGCGUGCUUUGUGGUAUUAUUUAUUUAGGAACUGUGAGUAACUACAGCCGUAGCGUUCUCAUCUUUGCAACUCUGAUGGUUUAACAAACAGGGAAAACAUCAGCGUAUUUUUAUUAAGGUACAAAAUACACCCCAUUGUUGCCUAAAACAUUUAAAAACGUGAGAAAAGCUCUGUAUGUUCUAAAUCAGAUUAAAAACCUUUCUGUAUAAGGAAUCGUGGCAAUACUGUGUUUAGUAUAACAAGAGUUCUUUAUCGAUUGAAAAGGAAAAGACAUGCUGGCAAUCUGAACUUAGCAACAAAGAGUAAAGCAGUUAAAAACCAUUGUGUCAUCCACAGUAGUUGAGCUUUGAAUGCAGAAGAGCAAAUCAUAUGAAACACAUACACAACUGGGUAAUAUCAAACAACCUAAGGCUGAUAUUGUACACACCUGUAAUAAAGUACACUGCCUACUUAACUGUGAGGACA